GCGGUCGUGGCGAAGUGGUUAACGCACCGGAUUGUGGCUCCGGCACUCGUGGGUUCGAUUCCCAUCGAUCGCCC
RNAcentral lists this transfer RNA (74 nucleotides) under Brevibacillus borstelensis. Its description in RNAcentral is "tRNA-His". It matches the Rfam family "tRNA". Rfam says of the family: Transfer RNA (tRNA) molecules are approximately 80 nucleotides in length. Their secondary structure includes four short double-helical elements and three loops (D, anti-codon, and T loops). Lineage: Bacteria; Bacillati; Bacillota; Bacilli; Caryophanales; Paenibacillaceae. The record is from RNAcentral.